RNAcentral lists this ribosomal RNA (460 nucleotides) under uncultured bacterium. RNAcentral's name for it is "partial 16S ribosomal RNA". It matches the Rfam family "Bacterial small subunit ribosomal RNA", at positions 338 to 795 of the family's 1533-position model. The record is from RNAcentral.
CCUACGGGAGGCAGCAGUGAGGUAUAUUGGUCAAUGGAUGAGAGUCUGAACCAGCCAAGUAGCGUGAAGGAUGACUGCCCUAUGGGUUGUAAACUUCUUUUAUAUGGGAAUAAAACGUUCCACGUGUGGGAUUUUGUAUGUACCAUAUGAAUAAGGAUCGGCUAACUCCGUGCCAGCAGCCGCGGUAAUACGGAGGAUCCGAGCGUUAUCCGGAUUUAUUGGGUUUAAAGGGAGCGUAGGUGGAUUGUUAAGUCAGUUGUGAAAGUUUGCGGCUCAACCGUAAAAUUGCAGUUGAAACUGGCAGUCUUGAGUACAGUAGAGGUGGGCGGAAUUCGUGGUGUAGCGGUGAAAUGCUUAGAUAUCACGAAGAACUCCGAUUGUGAAGGCAGUUCACUGGACUGCAACUGACACUGAGGCUCGAAAGUGUGGGUAUCAAACAGGAUUAGAUACCCGGGUAGUC